UUAAACAUGAGAGUUUGAUCCUGGCUCAGGAUGAACGCUGGCGGCGUGCCUAACACAUGCAAGUCGAGCGAAGCAUUUUAAAGGAAGUUUUCGGAUGGAAUUUGAAAUGACUGAGCGGCGGA
This 122-nucleotide ribosomal RNA is filed under the name Enterocloster hominis (ex Liu et al. 2021). RNAcentral describes it as "partial 16S ribosomal RNA". It matches the Rfam family "Bacterial small subunit ribosomal RNA", at positions 1 to 102 of the family's 1533-position model. The record is from RNAcentral. Lineage: Bacteria; Bacillati; Bacillota; Clostridia; Lachnospirales; Lachnospiraceae.